ACCCUUGUGGAGGAGGACGCCGAAGGUGGGGCUAAUGACUGGGGUGAAGUCGUAACAAGGUAGCCGUACCGGAAGGUGCGGCUGGAUCACCUCCUAACAGGGAGACAACAAAAUGUUUAAUAUUAUUAUUUUGUCACCUUAGGUCGAUCGGUACCUCACGUUCUUAAUUUAUUAAGAAUUUCACUUCCUAAGUUUUUCUAGGUCACACCCAUUAUUUUUCCUGGGCCAUUAGCUCAGGUGGUUAGAGCGCACCCCUGAUAAGGGUGAGGUCCCUGGUUCAAGUCCAGGAUGGCCCAUAUCUCUAUGUUGGGGGUAUAGCUCAGUUGGUAGAGCGCCUGCUUUGCAAGCAGGAUGUCAGCGGUUCGAGUCCGCUUACCUCCACUGAUUACCACCUCUUUCAUAUUCUGUGGAAAGGAAAUUUUUUGAGUUGUGCUUAAAUUCUGAACGAAUCUAGCUUCCUAAUGUAAUCAUUAAGAUGCUGGACUCAUUGAAUUAAUUUCAUUGUUUUCAGAGAACCUUGACAACUGCAUAGAUUAUUUAAAAGACAAUAAGCAUCUUGAAUGAUGCAGAUUUAUUAUUUGUGCGAAUGCAUUAAUAACAAUUCUAUUAAGCUGAUGCUUCAAUUUUGAAGUUAUUGGUCAAGCUACAAAGGGCUCACGGAGGAUACCUAGGCACACAGAGGCGAUG
Molecule: unclassified non-coding RNA, 687 nt
Filed under: uncultured Prochlorococcus sp.
Lineage: Bacteria; Bacillati; Cyanobacteriota; Cyanophyceae; Synechococcales; Prochlorococcaceae
Description: partial may contain 16S ribosomal RNA, 16S-23S ribosomal RNA intergenic spacer, and 23S ribosomal RNA
Rfam family: Bacterial small subunit ribosomal RNA (bases 1-97)
Source: RNAcentral